UACGAAGGGAGCUAGCGUUGUUCGGAAUCACUGGGCGUAAAGCGCACGUAGGCGGAUGUGUCAGUCAGGGGUGAAAUCCCGGAGCUCAACUUCGGAACUGCCUUUGAUACAGCACGUCUUGAGUCCGAUAGAGGUGGGUGGAAUUCCUAGUGUAGAGGUGAAAUUCGUAGAUAUUAGGAAGAACACCGGUGGCGAAGGCGGCCCACUGGAUCGGUACUGACGCUGAGGUGCGAAAGCGUGGGGAGCGAACCGG
RNAcentral lists this ribosomal RNA (253 nucleotides) under uncultured bacterium. RNAcentral describes it as "partial 16S ribosomal RNA". It matches the Rfam family "Bacterial small subunit ribosomal RNA", at positions 524 to 776 of the family's 1533-position model. The record is from RNAcentral.